RNAcentral lists this ribosomal RNA (473 nucleotides) under uncultured bacterium. Its description in RNAcentral is "SSU rRNA". It matches the Rfam family "Bacterial small subunit ribosomal RNA", at positions 26 to 518 of the family's 1533-position model. The record is from RNAcentral.
AGGACGAACGCUGGCGGCGUGCUUAACACAUGCAAGUCGAGCGGAAAGGCCCUUCGGGGUACUCGAGCGGCGAACGGGUGAGUAACACGUGAGCAAUCUGCCCUUAGCUUCGGGAUAGCCCCGGGAAACCGGGAUUAAUACCGGAUAUGACCUAGGCCGACAUCGGCUGUGGUGGAAAGUUUUUCGGCUGGGGAUGGACUCGCGGCCUAUCAGCUUGUUGGUGGGGUAAUGGCCUACCAAGGCGACGACGGGUAGCCGGCCUGAGAGGGCGACCGGCCACACUGGGACUGAGACACGGCCCAGACUCCUACGGGAGGCAGCAGUGGGAAUCUUGCGCAAUGGGCGAAAGCCUGACGCAGCGACGCCGCGUGGGGGAUGAAGGCCUUCGGGUUGUAAACCCCUUUCAGCAGGGACGAAGCGAAAGUGACGGUACCUGCAGAAGAAGCGCCGGCUAACUACGUGCCAGCAGCCGC